AACGAACGCUGGCGGCAGGCUUAAUCCAUGCAAGUCAAGGGGGUGUAGCAAUACACAACCGGCGUACGGGUGAGUAACGCGUGGGAAUGUGUCCAUUUGUGGGGAAUAGCUUCUGGAAACGGAAGGUAAUACCGCAUACGCCCUUCGGGGGAAAGAUUUAUCGCAGAUGGAGCGGCCCGCGUUAGAUUAGCUAGUUGGUGGGGUAACGGCUUACCAAGGCGAUGAUCUAUAGCUGGUCUGAGAGGACGAUCAGCCACAUUGGGACUGAGACACGGCCCAGACUCCUACGGGAGGCAGCAGGGAGGAAUAUUGGGCAAUGGGGGGAAAAACCCCCUGACCCAGCCAUGCCGCGUGAGUGAAGAAGGCCUUCGGGUUGUAAAGCUCUUUUGUACGGGAAGGUGAUGACGGUACCGUAAGAAUAAGCACCGGCUAACUUCGUGCCAGCCGCCGC
This 451-nucleotide ribosomal RNA is filed under the name uncultured bacterium. RNAcentral describes it as "bacterial SSU rRNA". It matches the Rfam family "Bacterial small subunit ribosomal RNA", at positions 29 to 518 of the family's 1533-position model. The record is from RNAcentral.